UAAGUAGCCAAAUGGUAACUGAGACCCACUGU
This 32-nucleotide non-coding RNA is filed under the name Homo sapiens (human). The record is from RNAcentral. Lineage: Eukaryota; Metazoa; Chordata; Mammalia; Primates; Hominidae.